RNAcentral lists this transfer RNA (72 nucleotides) under Candidatus Uhrbacteria bacterium. Its description in RNAcentral is "tRNA-Pro". It matches the Rfam family "tRNA". From Rfam's summary of the family: Transfer RNA (tRNA) molecules are approximately 80 nucleotides in length. Their secondary structure includes four short double-helical elements and three loops (D, anti-codon, and T loops). Lineage: Bacteria; Candidatus Uhriibacteriota. The record is from RNAcentral.
CGGGGUGUGGUGUAUCGGUAACACGCGCCCUUGGGGUGGGCGUGACAGCGGGUUCAAUUCCCGUCACCCCGA